UGGAUCUCAACGGGGUGUUCCUUAAACAUAAUCGACCGCGCAGGCGGCCGGGUUUUUAAGGAGCUGAGAGGUGCGGCUUGGCACGACCCGUCGAACCUGAUCCGGCUCAUACCGGCGAAGGGAUUUGAGAUGCGCCAGCCC
Molecule: non-coding RNA, 141 nt
Filed under: Arboricoccus pini
Lineage: Bacteria; Pseudomonadati; Pseudomonadota; Alphaproteobacteria; Geminicoccales; Geminicoccaceae
Also listed under: 1 other name
Description: Arboriscoccus pini TPP riboswitch aptamer (THI element)
Rfam family: TPP riboswitch aptamer (THI element)
About the family: Vitamin B(1) in its active form thiamin pyrophosphate (TPP) is an essential coenzyme that is synthesised by coupling of pyrimidine and thiazole moieties in bacteria. The previously detected thiamin-regulatory element, thi box was extended, resulting in a new, highly conserved RNA secondary structure, the THI element, which is widely distributed in eubacteria and also occurs in some archaea.
Source: Rfam by way of RNAcentral